CCUACGGGAGGCAGCAGUGGGGAAUAUUGCACAAUGGGCGAAAGCCUGAUGCAGCAACGCCGCGUGAGGGACGACGGCCUUCGGGUUGUAAACCUCUUUUAGUAGGGAAGAAGCGAAAGUGACGGUACCUGCAGAAAAAGCACCGGCUAACUACGUGCCAGCAGCCGCGGUAAUACGUAGGGUGCAAGCGUUAUCCGGAAUUAUUGGGCGUAAAGAGCUCGUAGGCGGUUUGUCGCGUCUGCUGUGAAAACUGGAGGCUCAACCUCCAGCCUGCAGUGGGUACGGGCAGACUAGAGUGCGGUAGGGGAGAUUGGAAUUCCUGGUGUAGCGGUGGAAUGCGCAGAUAUCAGGAGGAACACCGAUGGCGAAGGCAGAUCUCUGGGCCGUAACUGACGCUGAGGAGCGAAAGCAUGGGGAGCGGAACAGGAUUAGGAUACCCUGGUAGUCCAUGCCGUAAACGUUGGGAACUAGAUGUAGGGACCAUUCCACGGUUUCUGUGUCGCAGCUAACGCAUUAAGUUCCCCGCCUGGGGAUACGGCCGCAGGCUAAACUCAAAGGAUUGACGG
Molecule: ribosomal RNA, 566 nt
Filed under: uncultured bacterium
Lineage: Bacteria
Description: bacterial SSU rRNA
Rfam family: Bacterial small subunit ribosomal RNA
Source: RNAcentral